UAGCACGUAGAAAUACCUUUCUAACAAUAUAAGGACCAGACCAAUCACAGAUCGGAGCAAGGAGAUAUGAUCGUCUCAAUAUGGCUAAUAGUAAGGCACUUAAAAUUCUAUAGAAUCGGCUAAGUUUUCGAUACGUCUGCCUUCCAGUCAAAUUUCGUGAAAAUCCGUUGGGAAUUUGAGGAAACUUAAAACAUGAAAGUUGUAGCCCUUUGAAAUAGAUUUCCAACGGUAUAUUGUGGAGCCCAAACAGAGCUCUGUACAAGAAGUUAUGUCCAUUUUACCAAAUACUGUGCAGAACCGACACAGGUCCCUUGUGAGGGAGCGUGCGGGCGCGUGUACGGGCUCCGCGUCGCGCACCAAUCGCACAAAAAAUCCCUCUUUGAAUAUUGACCUGCAGGGGGUCAUAUGCUGCAUGUGCGUCGCGGUCCCAUCGCAUAACAGGUCAGGUUUCGGGUCAAAAGUCGGGAUUUCGCGUUUUAAGUUAUAUUUAAGCUUGAGGUUUAUUUUCGUAACACCCUUAGUCACGAAAUAUCACUCUAAAGUCAGAGGGAACAAGUCCCAAGCCUCAAGAACCCUCCAAGGUAAGUUUUAUCAUGAUUCUAGGUUGAAUUCAAGUCCCUAAUCUCUUUCUAACGUGAGUAUACCCUUCUAAUCAAUAGAGUUGUGAGUGGAACAUUAUUGUUGGGCGUGGAAACCCUAGAACUCGAAUUCAAGAGGAUUGAACGUCAAAAAGAUCAAAGUUGAAAGGGUUGACGAACAUUGUAUUAUGCUCAAAGGCUGGAAUUAAGGCAACGACAUAUAGGUUGACGAUCCAGCUACUUAGGAGUGUUCGUAUCAGCUACUUUGGUGAGCCCCAACUUCCUUCGGGGCGAUAUCAGUCAUGCAGUUCUUACAGCUUUCUAGACGAUUACCUUUUUGUA
This is a long non-coding RNA of Lycium ferocissimum, 920 nucleotides long. RefSeq lists it as uncharacterized. The record is from RefSeq and is a predicted model, not a curated record. Lineage: Eukaryota; Viridiplantae; Streptophyta; Magnoliopsida; Solanales; Solanaceae. The transcript has 3 exons.